GGAAUAUUGGACAAUGGGCGCAAGCCUGAUCCAGCCAUGCCGCGUGAGUGAAGAAGGCCUUAGGGUUGUAAAGCUCUUUCAGCGGGGAAGAUAAUGACGGUACCCGCAGAAGAAGCCCCGGCUAACUUCGUGCCAGCAGCCGCGGUAAUACGAAGGGGGCUAGCGUUGUUCGGAUUUACUGGGCGUAAAGCGAGUGUAGGCGGUUUGCCAAGUCCGUUGUGAAAUCUCCCGGCUCAACUGGGAGGGUGCGGCGGAAACUGGCAGGCUAGAGUGCGGAAUGGGAGAGUGGAAUUCCUGGUGUAGCGGUGAAAUGCGUAGAUAUCAGGAGGAACACCGGUGGUGAAGACGGCUCUCUGGACCGCUACUGACGCUGAGACUCGAAAGCGUGGGGAGCAAA
RNAcentral lists this ribosomal RNA (397 nucleotides) under uncultured bacterium. RNAcentral describes it as "bacterial SSU rRNA". It matches the Rfam family "Bacterial small subunit ribosomal RNA", at positions 358 to 772 of the family's 1533-position model. The record is from RNAcentral.